UUCGAACCCCACUGAGCCCACUGCUCUUCAAAAUUUUGGGCCAAGAACCAUGGCUCAACAUCCUACCCAACCCACUUCCUCACAAAAUACCCAAACAAAACCCACAAAUAAAUUUUCCUAUAUCAAAUCCAAGCCCACCAGAACCAAAUCCAACAAACACCAGCCCAAUCGAACCAAAUGUCAUCAGCCAACAAGACCAUAUUUCACCAGCCCAAUCGAACCAAAAUCAGAACCCUCAAACAGAAACCACU
RNAcentral lists this long non-coding RNA (251 nucleotides) under Brassica napus (rape). RNAcentral describes it as "long non-coding RNA (BNAP_LNC025952)". Lineage: Eukaryota; Viridiplantae; Streptophyta; Magnoliopsida; Brassicales; Brassicaceae. The record is from RNAcentral.